RNAcentral lists this long non-coding RNA (729 nucleotides) under Homo sapiens (human). RNAcentral's name for it is "HSALNT0102511". The record is from RNAcentral. Lineage: Eukaryota; Metazoa; Chordata; Mammalia; Primates; Hominidae.
CACAGUCAAGGGUUCUAAUGACUUGGGCACAAUGCCUCUUCAGUUCUUUUAAGGAAAAUGAUGAACUUUUUUCUUUCUCCUCAGCAAGUUAUCUGAGUAAUGUAAAAGCUCAUAAACUGAGAUUCAGGGAGACACUGUCAAUGAGGCACUAUACUGAACAAUUAAAACGUAAGACACAUCUUGUAUAAUUAAAUUGAUUUUUUUUUCUGCCAGAAACAAGACCUUCUCAGGUUAACAUAUGUGUUUCUAUGCCUGACUCUCAACCUUGGACCUGUACCUCUGCAAUCACUUGGCCCUGGAUGGAUGAGGGAGGGUGGCAUGUGAAUAGAAACUGGACCAGGGAGACCACCAAGGAAUGAUGUGCCCUCGAGCAAGAGUCUCGCUCUAUUGCCCAGGUUGGAGUGCAGUGGCGCGAUCUCGGCUCCCUGCAGCCUCCGCCUACCGGCUUCAAGUGAUUCUCCUGCCUCAGCCUCCUGACUUUUUCUUUUUCUUUUCUUUUUUUCUUUCUUUUUUUUUUUUUUUUACAGUGGAUCCUGCAUUAGAAAACCACCAACUUAUUGUAACUUUUAGUUAAUUAUAAAAAGAUAACUUUGUCAUUGUUCAAUCUUAUAAAACAAUGAAACCAAGUAUAAACUAUUUUAAGUAAAUUGCUUUUAUGGGAUUUCUCUUUUCAGAAUUGACUGUGGCUCCAUGGUUUGUUGUAAUUAAUUAAACCGUGUUCAUUUGGAG